This is an RNA transcript of Tetranychus urticae (two-spotted spider mite), 1590 nucleotides long. RefSeq lists it as uncharacterized. NCBI's taxonomy places the organism in Eukaryota, Metazoa, Arthropoda, Arachnida, Trombidiformes, Tetranychidae. The record is from RefSeq and is a predicted model, not a curated record.
UUUGAAGGAAUGAUUAUUAAAUUAUGAAUAAAACUGUGGAUGUUCAAAGUUGGGAAUUAGAUGCUGACUCUCAAGUGAAGAGGCCAACAUCAAUAUACAGUGCAAUUGUGGACAGUUUUUUCAUCAAUCGAUUUAUAUGGAAACAUCGUCGGUUCCAUUUGUUUCUCUCACUUUUGGGAAUCGGUGCAUUCACAGCUAGAACAAUAGCAUUUAUCCUGGAAAUUAUUUCAAAUCCAAAUUCACCAAAUCUCUCCAUUUCUUCCUUCAUCUUAUAUGCCAUCUCUCAGGUCUGGGUUUUGUACGCAGUUUUGGAAAAUUUUGCAUUUCCUUCUGUUAAAUUCAUCAAAUCAUUUGACGAGAUUUGGAGCGAAUUGCCACUCUCAAGUGAACCUGAAAUUGUAACUGCAAUCAAAAAAUCAAAUAGAUUCUCUAAUAUUGUUUCAUUUUGUAUUCUCAUCAAUUCUAUCACAAUACUUAUUGCUUCCUCUACAAUUGAAUAUUUAUCCACUCUAAAUGCAUCCAUAAUCUACUUUUUAGGCAACAAAUCAGUUGAACUUUAUGCCAAUCUAAUUAUUGCCAAUAUACUUCGAGGUUUCCUCAUUUCAGGAGGUUAUAUCAAGAUUGGUCAUCAAUAUAUUUACAAUGAAAUUGUUGCUAUAGCUGGAGAUGCCACUGCUCCUGAUUUAAGUUUUUGUCGACUUCGCCAUGAACAUCACGAUCUAGUCCAAUGUGGUCAUUUAUGUGAUGCUGCUUUCAGACGAUUUGUAACAACAGUCUGUUCUGUCCAAGUUCCCAUGGCAGUUUUAAUCAUCUACAAUAAUCUUUACAUGGAUAUAGACGUUAUCACUAGAGUCAAUUAUUUUCUUGCUUUACUUGAUUUUGGUACUUUCAUAGCAUUCUUUGUUCCGUGUUUGGUUGGCUUUUAUUCAUUUCCCUCUCAAGCUCGUGAUUAUAUUUAUUUUUCAACUUUGGUAGGAAGAAGCAAUCUUUUCAAGUCAGAGGCUUUACAUUUUAUUGACAUGAUAAACUUGAAAUCGUGUGGCAUAAAAUUCAUGGGAUUGUACCUGUUGACUCCAGAUAUUAUACCAACUUUCGCUACAAUUGUAUUUACGUAUGUAAUGGCUAUUCCUAAUUUUAGGAAUGCAGUAUGAAUUGAUUGGUGAAUCGUGAAGACAUAAAACUCGAAUUUAAAGGUUUGUUGCUAAAUUUUUACUGUUAUUACAGACCAUAUCGCACCUUAUAGCGAUAGUCCUGGACGACAUCCCUUGCCCAGUCCCAAGUACAUCACAGCAACUUAUCUACCAUUUGGAGCAACCACUGAUGAGGAUCCUAGCAGUUCCUCAGGGACUCAAGAUUCUUGUUUGGGCUACUAUAUGGAGUUGACGGAGGUGGUGAAGGAAAAAACGAUUCGAUUCGUGUGGCAAUAGACAGACCACCGGGCAGAAUAAAGUGCUUGGUGCCUUGGCGCAGUGUUUGUUUGAUUUCGUCAUAUCGGCAAAAAAAACAAAAUUUAAACUAAAAAACUUGUAAGAAAAACAACCAAAUGUAGAAAUAAGAUCGAAAUUAAAGUGAAACCCUUGGUCAUAAAGA